RNAcentral lists this ribosomal RNA (269 nucleotides) under uncultured bacterium. RNAcentral's name for it is "partial 16S ribosomal RNA". It matches the Rfam family "Bacterial small subunit ribosomal RNA", at positions 123 to 406 of the family's 1533-position model. The record is from RNAcentral.
AAUCUACCUUCGAGUGGGGAAUAACUGAGAGAAAUCUUAGCUAAUACCGCAUAAUACCUACGGGUCAAAGCAGCAAUGCGCUUGAAGAGGAGUUCGCGGCAGAUUAGUUAGUUGGCGGGGUAAUGGCCCACCAAGACGAUGAUCUGUAUCCGGCCUGAGAGGGCGCACGGACACACUGGAACUGAAACACGGUCCAGACUCCUACGGGAGGCAGCAGUGGGGAAUUUUGCGCAAUGGGGGAAACCCUGACGCAGCAACGCCGCGUGGAG